Bufo gargarizans (Asiatic toad) is the source of this 150-nucleotide long non-coding RNA. RefSeq lists it as uncharacterized. Lineage: Eukaryota; Metazoa; Chordata; Amphibia; Anura; Bufonidae. The record is from RefSeq and is a predicted model, not a curated record. The transcript is spliced from 3 exons.
CUCUGGCUCACACACAUGAUCAAUAACAGACUGGGGGCUGCUAUAAGUUAUUAUGAAGACUUUAAGAAGUCUGAAUUUUUCCACUGAGGACGAUAUGACGAGGUCUUCACCUCCGAUGUCCUCAACAAGUGAGACCAGCAUCCACAAUUA